This is a long non-coding RNA of Daphnia carinata, 453 nucleotides long. RefSeq lists it as uncharacterized. Lineage: Eukaryota; Metazoa; Arthropoda; Branchiopoda; Diplostraca; Daphniidae. The record is from RefSeq and is a predicted model, not a curated record. The transcript has 3 exons.
UAAAACUUACAACGGAAGACAUACUAACCAGUGGGAAGGUCACCAAUGAUAGAACCAACACACCACUGUCUCAUUUGACUACCCUUUGCCUAGUCAUCAGAAACAGCUUUAAUCUGACUAGUGCAUCGUGUCCCUCUUUGUUUGGAUUCCAAUGAUUAACCACUACCAACCAACUUACAUAGAAAUGGACAUCACAGCCAGUCCUGUUUGGUCUGCUGAGCCUUCUCCUUCAGCAAAAUUACCAGCCCAACAACUUUUGCGUCUUUGGACAACAGGAACUAUGCCAUCAUCUUCUGUUCCACGCAAAAUUGAAUCAAAAUUCUAAGUUUUGCCCGUUCUUCACUUCAUAAUCCUUCGUCGCCUGGCUUUUCGCCCCGUCCGUCGCCUCGCCUGUAGCCGUCUUCGCCUCGCCCGUCGCCUUGCCCAUCGCCUCGCCCGUCGCCCCGUCUUCGC